GUUGUGAUAAAAACUAAAGGCUCUCAAGAGCCUGUGUCGCUCACCUGUUACUGUAUUUACUGAUGUCGGCCAUCUUGGUUGGCAGGCAGGGUCAUUGGACACUUUUUUAAAAUAGAUACCCUAGUAAUGAUUGUGGCCAAGUUUGGUUAACGGUGGCCCAUAGUUUUAGAAAAGAAGAUUUUUGUACAAGUUACAAAAAUGACGAAAAGUUGUUCAAUAUUGACUAUAAAGGACAAUAACUCCUUAAGGAGUUCUCUGACAAUUUUGGUCAUGUUUGACUUAUUUGUAGAUCUUACUUUGCUGAACAUUAUUGCUGAUUACAGUUUAUCUCUAUCUAUAAUAGUAUUCAUGAUAAUAACCAAAAACUGCAAAAUUUCCUUAAAAUUACCAAUUCAGGGGCAGCAACCCAACAACCAGUUGUCCGAUCCAUCUGAAAAUAUCAGGGCAGAUAGAUCUUGACCUGAUAAUCAAUUUUACCCCUGUCAGAUUUGCUCUAAAUGCUUUGGUUUUUGAGUUAUAAGCCAAAAACUGCAUUUUACCCCUGUGUUCUAUUUUUAGCCAUGGCGGCCAUCUUGGUUUGAUGGCCGGGUCAUCCUACACAUUUUUUUAACUAGAUACCCCAAAGAUGAUUUUUGCUAAGUUUGGUUAAAUUUGGCCCAGUAGUUUCAGAGGAGAAGAUUUUUGUAAAAGAUUACUAAGAUUUAUGAAAAAUGGUUAAAAAUUGACUAUAAAGGGCAAUAACUCCUCAAGGGGUCAACUGACCAUUUUAGUCAUAUUGACUUACUUGUAAAUCUUACUUUGCUGAACAUUACUGCUGUUUACAGUUUAUCUCUAUCUAUAAUGAUAAUCAAGAUAAUAACCAAAAACAGCAAAAUUUCCUUAAAAUUACCAAUUCAGGGGCAGCAACCUAACAACGGGUUGUCCGAUUCAUCUGAAAAUUUCAGGGCAGAUAGAUCUUGACCUGAUAAUCAAUUUUACCACACGUAGAUUUGCCCUAAAUGCUUUGGUUUUUGAGUUAUAAGCCAAAAACUGCAUUUUACCCCUAUGUUCUAUUUUUAGCCGUGGCGGCCAUCUUGGUUGGAUGGCCGGGUCAUCCUACACAUUUUUUUUAACUAGAUACCCCAAAGAUGAUUUUUGCUAAGUUUGGUUAAAUUUGGCCCAGUAGUUUCAGAGGAGAAGAUUUUUGUAAAAGAUUACUAAGAUUUAUGAAAAAUGGUUAAAAAUUGACUAUAAAGGGCAAUAACUCCUCAAGGGGUCAACUGAUCAUUUUAGUCAUAUUGACUUACUUGUAAAUCUUACUUUGCUGAACAUUACUGCUGUUUACAGUUUAUCUCUAUCUAUAAUGAUAUUCAAGAUAAUAACCAAAAACAGCAAAAUUUCCUUAAAAUUACCAAUUCAGGGGCAGCAACCCAACAAGGGGUUGUCCGAUUCAUCUGAAAAUUUCAGGGCAGAUAGAUCUUGACCUGAUAAUUAAUUUUACCACACGUAGAUUUGCUCUAAAUGCUUUGGUUUUUGAGUUAUAAGCCAAAAACUGCAUUUUACCCCUAUGUUCUAUUUUUAGCCGUGGCGGCCAUCUUGGUUGGUUGGCCGGGUUACCGGACACAAUUUUUUAACAAGAUACCCUAAAGAUGAUUUUUGCCAAGUUUGGUUAAAUUUGGCCCAGUAGUCUCAGAGAAGAUUUUUGUAAAAGAUAAUUAAGAUUUACGAAAAAUGGUUAAAAAUUGACUAUAAAGGGCAAUAACUCCUAAAGGGGUCAACUGACCAUUUCAGUCAUGUUGACUUAUUUGUAAAUCUUACUUUUCUGAACAUUAUUGCUGUUUACAGUUUAUCUCUAUCUACAAUGAUAUUCAAGAUAAUAACCAAAAACAGCAAAAUUUCCUUAAAAUUACCAAUUCAGGGGCAGCAACCCAACAACGGGUUGUCCGAUUCAUCUGACAAUUUCAGGGCAGAUAGAUCUUGACCUGAUAAUCAAUUUUACCCCUGUCAGAUUUGCUCUAAAUGCUUUGGUUUUUGAGUUAUAAGCCAAAAACUGCAUUUUACCCCUGUGUUCUAUUUUUAGCCAUGGCGGCCAUC
This 2073-nucleotide long non-coding RNA is filed under the name Mytilus galloprovincialis (Mediterranean mussel). Lineage: Eukaryota; Metazoa; Mollusca; Bivalvia; Mytilida; Mytilidae. The record is from RNAcentral.